AUUCUCCUUGCUCUUCAAUUUACGUUCUACCGCUUUCUUUCUCAUUCUCUCUAAUCUCCAAUUCAUCUUCCACCGCAAUCAUCUACUAGUCUUCCGCCUCUUUAUUUCAACAUCUUAAUCUACUGGAUUUUUCUCUUCCGCUUCAUUAUUUCAACAUCUUCAUCACAAACAAGAACGCCGGAUCUGCCCCUUUUGUAUUCGUGUUUUUUCAUCUGUAAUGUGUAUGCUUUGUUUAUGAAUUAGGGUUUUCCAAGACGUGCAUAUGAAUCGGUUAUCCAUUUUGAUUAACCAUGUGUUCAACCCGUUUUGAGUUUAUCCUGAUUUGAUUCACCCUCUUCUCAAUCGGAAUCGAGUUUAUCCCGUUUUGAUUAACCAUGUAUUCUUCAUCCUUUAUUAUGUUUUCGUCUGUUAUUCUAAUUUCGUUAUGUUAUUGAAAACCCUAAUUUUUGAAACAAUAGGUACUCAUUUUCUAAAUUUACAGUAGGUAGUUGAACUUCUUUGUUUGUUUUGUUUAGGGUUCUUUUGGUUCCUAUUUGGCUUCUGUGAUGCAUCAAAUUUUUUGAUUGAAAUGGGGCCACGAGUAACUUUCGUUUUCUGAUUUGAAUUUGAAUAUUGUUGGACAACCUUUCACACCUUCUGAAAUUAGGUUUCUGAAAUUAGGUUUAAGUUAUGUUUUUUCAGUUAUUCAAUUUGUGAAGAAUCAUAAUAGGGCAUCAAUUUCGUGGUAAUUACAUGAACAUGUUGUAACAGUUAAGUCUUGGUAAACAAAGUAAAGGUUUGAUAAUGUAACAAUUAAGUCUUGGUAAACAAAUUCAAGGUUUUCUUUUGAUUGAAAUGUGUGGCUCAUAUUAUUGUUUUGUGGAUUAGUAAUAUGAUGUUAUAGAUUAGAAUACUUUAUUUGUCUUAUCUUUCAAAAAUCCAAUUCUUGAUGUUUAUUGUAUAGAUACAAACCUUUGUUGUAUUUAUAUCUUUACAAGUUCAUACUGAGGUAUAGGCUUUCGUUUGGUUUAAGUCGCAUAUACUAUCUGAUUUCUAACUUCGUGUUUGCUGUUCAUACAACUAUUAUUCCCAGAUUCAUAAAGCAAACAAUCGACGGAUUCAAGCUUCGAAACGCGGGAGAUGAAUAUAUAUGUUGCUUACAUGGAACACUUACUACAUGAAGAUAAGGACCUAACUACUGAAAACCUUCAUGAUAGUGCAUGAUGCAUAUAUGGAACACUUACUACACGAAAAUACUAAUUUCCUUACGAGUUCAUAUUGAGAUUGAUAAAGCAAACAAUCGACAGAUUCAAGCGUGGAAACGCUUGAGAUGAAUAUAUGUAUACACUGGUCCCAAAGUCUCUUAUUUAUCGAAAUAUUUUUGGUUGCCGACAUGAGCAGCAAUUCUCCGUCAGCAAUGGUAAUUUACCAACAUCAAUUAUAUUUGUUUUUUUUAUGAUUUUCAUGAAUUGUUUAUCUACAUUUUUGUUGUGAUCACACUAUCAUGAAUAGCUUAAUAAUAGAAGUAAAAAUCUAUUGUCUUCGAGAAUAUAUUUCAGAUCUCAAUUACCAUUGACACAUAGCAACCUUAUUUAUUUGUUAAACAUAAAACUUAAACUUAGAGCCACCAUAUUA
This 1614-nucleotide long non-coding RNA is filed under the name Helianthus annuus (common sunflower). RNAcentral's name for it is "hypothetical non coding rna". Lineage: Eukaryota; Viridiplantae; Streptophyta; Magnoliopsida; Asterales; Asteraceae. The record is from RNAcentral.